AGAGUUUGAUCCUGGCUCAGAACGAACGCUGGCGGCAGGCCUAACACAUGCAAGUCGAGCGCUCACUUCGGUGGGAGCGGCGGACGGGUUAGUAACGCGUGGGAACGUGCCCAGAUCUAAGGAAUAGCCACUGGAAACGGUGAGUAAUACCUUAUACGCCCUUCGGGGGAAAGAUUUAUCGGAUUUGGAUCGGCCCGCGUUAGAUUAGAUAGUUGGUGGGGUAAUGGCCUACCAAGUCUACGAUCUAUAGCUGGUUUUAGAGGAUGAUCAGCAACACUGGGACUGAGACACGGCCCAGACUCCUACGGGAGGCAGCAGUGGGGAAUCUUGGACAAUGGGCGCAAGCCUGAUCCAGCCAUGCCGCGUGAGUGAUGAAGGCCUUAGGGUCGUAAAGCUCUUUCGCCAGAGAUGAUAAUGACAGUAUCUGGUAAAGAAACCCCGG
Molecule: ribosomal RNA, 442 nt
Filed under: uncultured Alphaproteobacteria bacterium
Lineage: Bacteria; Pseudomonadati; Pseudomonadota; Alphaproteobacteria
Description: bacterial SSU rRNA
Rfam family: Bacterial small subunit ribosomal RNA
Source: RNAcentral